UCGCUGCCGCGCGCACAGCGUUCUGAGGGGCGGGGCUAGGCUGCGCGCGCGCGGCGGCGACAAAACUCCGGAUGAGCUGGGAGCAUCAUGAAUCCAGAACUCUAACACAAAUAACAGAGGCACACAACAGGCUGAUCCAUAAUGCAGAAGAACACAACUCAACACACCUGACUCUAAAAUGGCUCUUUGCAGACUGACUGCACAAGACCCAGAUUGCAUGCUUCCCUUCAGAGCCUCAGCCUGAGACACAUUUGCUUUCUGAUUCCCUGGAUAAGUAUUCCAAGUCACGGUCAGUGCUAGAAUAGCUCUUCUGUCAAAGCUUGGAACAGCUGCCUCAAAUGAUACAAGAGAUGCAUGCUCACCAAAAGCCAAGAACCCACUAAAAGUGGGCACUGAAACAGUGUUAAAAUAUUUCACUGUUUUGCUCCUGGUAAUGUCUUUGUUGCCUGUAUUUUCAUAGUGUGAUAUUGUGCAAUUUCCAGAUUUUGAAAGUUGUGUUUUGUGAGGACUCUGGCUUGGUAACUGGCUAUUUUUAUUCUAGAAAAUUGAGUGGUGUGCUCCUUCAUCAGUAGAGAUGAAAAGAGAGACCAUUACAUUACUCAUGUGAGUUUUUCUUUUCUCCUUCAGCCGUGUACAGUGCUCUGCUCUUGCACAGCUCUUCUUCAAAGUCUCUAUUUUUAAAUCCAGUUCAUGAAGUUCUUAUGGAUUUCUUUAUAAAUGCUGCAUUAACAAUCCAGCCACCAUAACAAACAGGACACCAAUAGAUAAUGGCAAGAGAACACAGAGCUAGUAUAAGCUCCAUAUAAUAAAAAGUUAUUCAGAAUAAAAAUGGUGAAUCACACUGUUGGUUGAAAUCUCCUGUAGCAAUGAAUUAUUCAACAUAUAAAUGGUGGGAGUUUCACUACCACAGCAUCACUAGACAUUUGAUAGAACUGAGAAAAUCACUAUUUAAAUACAGGGAACAUAGAAGCUUUGCAAGCCCCCUGUAACAAUGGGAAAUUCUUCAUUUAAAUUAUGAAAUUAGCACAAGCCUGAGACUUUCCUGUGGAUUUCUGUAUGUAAAGCUGCAAUUUGCAUACCUAUGAAUAUGUACAAUAUAAAUUACUGCAUAUAAAUAAAGAUCCGUAUAGCUGUCUCA
Long non-coding RNA from Chelonoidis abingdonii (Abingdon island giant tortoise), 1138 nucleotides. RefSeq lists it as uncharacterized. NCBI's taxonomy places the organism in Eukaryota, Metazoa, Chordata, Testudines, Testudinidae. The record is from RefSeq and is a predicted model, not a curated record.